RNA transcript from Macadamia integrifolia, 2990 nucleotides. RefSeq lists it as uncharacterized. NCBI's taxonomy places the organism in Eukaryota, Viridiplantae, Streptophyta, Magnoliopsida, Proteales, Proteaceae. The transcript is spliced from 4 exons. The record is from RefSeq and is a predicted model, not a curated record.
UGGUAUGCAUUCUGGGAAAAAAUUCUAGGUCCAGAAACAUACUCUGAAGCAAAUCUAUGUUUGGUAUGCAUUUUCAGAAUAAAUUAUGGGUUUGGAACACCUUCUGCAACAAUGAAAAUAGGGUUGUGUUUGAUUUCAGAUUUUAAAAUGUGUUAUAAACGGAUGAGUGCAGUAGCUGCGGGAAAGCAUCACACUCCGAGGUUCUGAGGGAUUAGCCGAAACCCAAAUUAAUACAUGCCGUGAUCUCAGGAGACUCCAUCCCGCCAUUUAUUUGGUAGCUUUUGCAUAUGUUAAUCUGGACCUAGAGGAUGCUUGAAAAAGAAAAAAAAAACAGUUAGGGAUAUUGUUGAACCAAAACUGCUUAGCAUUCUCCGUUGGUGCAAGAAACCUUUCUAAUGAGGAUAUCACAUGAAAGUUGUGCUCUCUGGAAAUAUUUGUCAGCUGAGGGCAAAGAGUAGCUGCAAUUGGUGCUCCCAGAACUGUGAAAGCUACUAACCACAGGCCUCCAAGACGUAGAAAAAAGGGCCCUGGACUCAGUCCACCCCAUGAAUAUAAGACCUCAUCCUUCAGAGACGAAUAUUCAUUUACCUGAUACACAAAUGAAUACAGUAAGUAUGAACUCAUUCACAUUUUAUAAAUUUAGAAUUGGAAUACAAUCUUUUGCAGUGGAGAAUGGAAUUACUACUUCCAACCUGAGUGGCACAGAUGGCUUGCUGUCAGGGGACAGCCACGGAGGAACCUUUUUUAGGGGGCCUAUCUUUUGCCACAUCAAACAAUGGAUAUUCCCUUGGUAAACAAUGAUUUCUGAAUUUCAAGUCAUGUGCCGUUGUGUAUGUUCCUACAAGUGAGCUGGAAGUCCAUUCUCUGACAAGUUGGGGGUUUUGGAAUAGUGUUAGUUAUGUUUGGGUUACAACUACUUUUUGGUUGUUGUUGCGUUUUUAUCUGAAGUACUGUGAUGAUGAUGUACUAGUAUGUAAUAUUUCAUAAGAUCUUCCUCCAGGGAACAGACUCGUCCAUGGAAAGACACCAAUUCCAUCAGCAGAAGCAUUACUUGCACCCACACUGGCCAAUCUCUUAUCACCACCAAGUUUCCUGGUUGAGCCACCCUCAAAAAGUCCAGGAAACUCUGAACCUUCCAAGCCCCAACACCAUUCGUGCCCCCUGAGCUUGCAAGAACUCCAAUAGAAACUCUAUUAGAACCUCCAAUUUCUUUUUAAAAUUUUUUUUGCCUAUCCAAAAAAAAUAUAUUUCAUAAGAUCAAUGCAAGUUCCUAGUAAGGGAGUUUGCUCCCAAAAUAAAAAGUGAAAAGGAUUGAUCAUUGAUAAUGGCAUCACUUCUACAUUCUCUUCUUCGGCUUUCGGCUUUUUUUGGGUUGGGGGGGGGGGAUAGGGUUGGGAGUGAUGCCAGUAAGGUGAUCUGGUCCUAAUCUCUCUGAGUGCAUGCUAUUUGUGCUGCAGAGGCGGGCAAAUGUAGCUUGUUCACCUUCCUGAUGACUCACAGUGAGAGCUGCUAAGUGAAAAAAUCCUUGAAAAUAAAGACCUUUCCAUACACUUAUUCCACAUCUUUGCAUCUGUGGUUACAAUAUGGAUCUUCAUGCAAACAAAUCAUUUCCUCCAAAGCUUAUGGUCUAAAUAACUUAUGGGUUUGGGUAGAAUUGCUUCUAAUGCUAAUUUAUCCUGGAAACCAGGAAUAUCAGAUUGGAAAUCCAAUUGAUAUGUUCAACUUUGGACCUUUAUUAUUUUUUCACAGAAAUUUUGUGCCCAGCUGAUCCUGAUGAUUCCUUUCUUGUUAAGCCUUUCUCUUGAUCCCAUGCUUUUAUUCAUCUCCCUUUUUUAUGUCUCUCCGUAUGUGCUUAAGUCCUCCCCUGCUCUUCUUGUUAAUCAAUUUACUUGUUUUACUGUUGCAUAUCGUGUAUGUAAUUAGAAAACUGACACAGGUUUUCACUUUUAACUACCAUACAGAAGCACUGGAGACUUUUUUUCAUGUUACUGUAUUUUGUUAGAUCAAUCAUCAAGAAUGAAAAGUUGCUACCCGAGUUUGCAACUCUACCAAGUACCAAACAGAAGCUGACUUGGUUAGACCAUGGUGAGUGAAUAUACAAAGAAGAAAGAGAUAUGGGUGAGUUUCCAUCACCUGAUUCCAUACAAAAGGUACAUGUGUAACAGUAUAAUUACCAUUCAUAACCAAAAGGCAGAGAAAGGUGUGGUAAAUAUUUAUCCAUAUACUUACGGGUCUCUGUUCGAAAGGGACUUCAAUUUCCAACCCAGGAUCCCAGUUUCUUCCAGCAAAUCCUCUUCCACCCCCACCUGGUUCAUCUUUCAAAGCCCGAGCACAAUUCCACCGCGAUGGAUACUGGACUGGCUUAAGAGGCAGAACCCAGAAUCCACAGUUUCUUCCAGUCUUAAUUGGUCUGCCAUGGAAGAUUAUACAGUGAGAAGGAACUUGUUGUCUGAGCAUUUCUUCUCUUGUGCAGGUGAUGAAUGGACAAAGGAGUCUGGAGGUAUGGUUCAUGACACGUGGCAUGUGGUUCCUUUCACGUUCCUAUGCGUGCUUGGCUCAUGUUAUUGUUUCCAGAACAGUGGGCCAACUCGGCACAGGGAAGGAGGAGGUGUGGGGACCCUUACCAUUCAAUCAAGUCCAUACAUUGCAAGAUCAAAUCAGAUGGCAAGACAUGAGCACAAAAAUCCUUUGAGGAAGGCAGGGAGCGGCAGUGAGAAUUCAAAGAUUGGGGUGUAUGUUGGGCUCUCUCAACAGUUGGAUCUUCACUACCACCCAUCACUCACCGAUAAUAAGGGAGAGGUCAUUUAAUUGUGUGGAAGAGAGAGAGAGAGAGCUGUUAGUGUACACUGCCCCUGCGUCUCACAGAACCUUUUUUAAUAUAGUUCUAUUUUUUUCCUAAAAUAUGUUGGGUAAUCUGCCAGUGUACCAUAAGUUAGACCCUUUCUAUUGUCUCUGUCUUUCCCUCUUUAAAAUGACUUACUUGUCCCUCC